CGGUUCGAGUCCGCUUACCUCCACUGAUCAACUACCUAAUAACUCUUUUUAAUGGAGAUGGUUUAUUGGUUUUGUGAUUUAGGUGUUGUUCGCUGAAUGAACCUAGCUUCAUAUCAUUCCUUAAAUCAAUAGAUUUUUUGAGGCUGAUAAGACGCUGGGCUCUCUGUAUUUCUUAAAUGAAUUACUAGAAAGUUCAGUA
This 199-nucleotide unclassified non-coding RNA is filed under the name uncultured cyanobacterium. Its description in RNAcentral is "partial 16S-23S ribosomal RNA intergenic spacer". The record is from RNAcentral. Lineage: Bacteria; Bacillati; Cyanobacteriota.